Molecule: long non-coding RNA, 1843 nt
Filed under: Gossypium barbadense (sea-island cotton)
Lineage: Eukaryota; Viridiplantae; Streptophyta; Magnoliopsida; Malvales; Malvaceae
Description: long non-coding RNA (GBAR_LNC007518)
Source: RNAcentral
CGCUCAAACUUUCUAAAUGCAUAGUUGGGAAACUCAUCUUCUCUUACUUAGAAGAGCAUUUGGGCAACGAAGGGCCUCCUUCUCAAAGGACUAAGCUGGAGAGUUGGUAGGGGAAAUGCAAACUCAAUUUGGAAUGACCGAUGGAUACCAGGGAUCGAGCCUGAGAUAUUGCAGAACAGAGGAGACAAUGGCUAGCUGGAAUUAGUAUUUGAUAUAAUCGACAGUACAAAUAAAACGUGGAAAACGGAGUUAAUUACAACUACCUUUCAAAUGGAUAUUGCUCAAAGAAUUUUGCAGAUUCCUCUUGGAUAGCAGACUGUGAAGACUUACAAGUGUGGAAAGGUGAACAUUCUGGCGAGUUUUCAGUACGAAGCGCCUACAAACUAUUGCAAGAUGCUAGCUUGGAUCCUAGUAGCUAUUUAGUACAGGCCGAAACUAAAGAUUUCUACAUAAAGUUGUAGAAUUUACAAUUACCAAAAAAAAUUUAAUUCUUAUUUGGCGGAUCUCUUGGAACUAUAUUCCUACGCUAGUUAAUCUUAGAUACAAAAGAGUGACUACAAAUGCUAGUUGUCUUUGUUGCUGCUCCGAGGAAGAAGACAGCUACCACGUGUUUCGGCAAUAUCCUACAAGCAACGAAGUAUGGAAUAGUCUUAAUAUGACUUGGGUAACAGCACACAGAUCAAAAUACAUAGACAUAACUUAUCUGGGUUUUUGGAAGGGGCACCAAAAAGCAGAUCCGAAUGUUCUGCUGCGCUUUAUGGGUUAUUUGGGGCUCGCGAAAUCAAAUGGUUCAUGAAAGGAAAAUCACAUCAGGUAAGGACCUUUUACACAAAAUACAAAGUUACUUAAUGGAACUUGAAGGAGUGAGUGAAAAAAAUCGUACCUUUAAGUCUGCUAAAACUCAAAGACAAUGUGAGGAGUCAAUAAGGGAGACAAUACAGUUCGAUGCAGCUUUUGAUAUUAGAAACUCCAGAUCGACUUCAAGACUAGUUGUUCGAAACCUUAAAGCUUCAAAAUCGAUUCUUCAUUCCAACGUCUUGUCUCCAUUUGUAGCAGAGGCAUUUGCAUGUUUACAAGCAACCAAGUUAGGCAUCGAAAUGGGAUUAGGCUCAGUUACAAUUAUGGGGGACUCGAAAUCAGUUAUUAAAAAAUUCCAAAUGACGGAUCGGGAUAGAUCUAUUAUUGGAGCUAUUAUUAAAGAUAUUCAGAGCAGCAAAUCUAGUUUUCAAGAAAUUGCCUUCAGGUUUAUUCAAAGAUCAGAGAACCUUCAAGACCACAAAACAGCAAAGGAAGCAUUAGAGAAAAGGGAAGAGUUAUACCUGGUGGGAGAGACGUUGAAAUGCAAUGAAACUACUCCAGAAGAAAGAUGGCCACAAAAUUCGGGCUGAAGAUGUGGAAGGUGAAAUGAAACGGAAAAGGUAGCAAAUAAAAAUAGAUAUUUUGGAAACUGCUAUCAUUUGAACAGACUUGAUGUUCUGACAUGAAAAGGCAAAAAUGAUAAUGGCGUCCAGGCUAUUGAGUUGGCUGGGAAAUGACUAUCGGUUUACUUUCUUUUAGCUUCUUUAGUAUGUAAUUUCUGUUUAUUUCCUUAGCUUAAGUAUUCAGUGGGCUAAUCAUUUAAGAUAAAAAUAUAGCCCAUGUUUUAAUUAGCUGCCCAUUCCAGCAAAACUGAGCCCAAUAUUCUUUGGAUUGUAGUUGUUUGUUUUUCUUCUUUUCAUUUUCAAUUAAUAAUAUCCUAGCCAAUUUUUUUCAAAAAAAAAAUCAAAUGGACCACAUUUUUUGUGAUGUUUGUUUUCUUUGAAAGUAUUAUUAAUUUUUAGUCAUGUUCUGGUAUACAUGUGAG